This 253-nucleotide ribosomal RNA is filed under the name uncultured bacterium. RNAcentral describes it as "partial 16S ribosomal RNA". It matches the Rfam family "Bacterial small subunit ribosomal RNA", at positions 524 to 776 of the family's 1533-position model. The record is from RNAcentral.
GACGGGGGAUGCGAGCGUUGUUCGGAAUCACUGGGCUUAAAGCGCGUGUAGGCCGCCGGGUAAGUACCUUGUGAAAUCCCACGUCUCAACCGUGGAACUGCUUGGUAUACUGCCCGGCUCGAGGCUGGUAGAGGUGCCUGGAACUCUAGGUGGAGCGGUGAAAUGCGUAGAUAUCCAGAGGAACGCCCGUGGCGAAAGCGGGGCACUGGGCCUGACCUGACGCUGAGACGCGAAAGCGUGGGGAGCAAACGGG